RNAcentral lists this ribosomal RNA (660 nucleotides) under uncultured fungus. RNAcentral's name for it is "eukaryotic LSU rRNA". It matches the Rfam family "Eukaryotic large subunit ribosomal RNA", at positions 24 to 664 of the family's 3401-position model. The record is from RNAcentral. Lineage: Eukaryota; Fungi.
CCCGCUGAACUUAAGCAUAUCAAUAAGCGGAGGAAAAGAAACUAACAAGGAUUCCCCUAGUAACUGCGAGUGAAGCGGGAAGAGCUCAAAUUUAAAAUCUGGCAGUUCCUUGAGCUGUCCGAGUUGUAAUCUAGAGAAGUGUUUUCCGCGCUGGACCGUGUACAAGUCCUUUGGAACAAGGCGUCAUAGAGGGUGAGAAUCCCGUCCUUGACGUGGGCUACCAGUGUUUUUGUGAUGCGCUUUCUAAGAGUCGAGUUGUUUGGGAAUGCAGCUCAAAGUGGGUGGUAAAUUCCAUCUAAAGCUAAAUAUUGGCCUGAGACCGAUAGCGAACAAGUACCGUGAGGGAAAGAUGAAAAGCACUUUGAAAAGAGAGUCAAACAGUACGUGAAAUUGCUGAAAGGGAAACGCUUGAAGUCAGUCGCGCCCCCUGGAAUUCAGCCCUGCUUUUGUAGGGUGUACUUUCCAGGGGGCGGGCCAACAUCAGUUUUGACCGGCAGAUAAAGGCUGGGGGAAUGUGGCUCCUUCGGGAGUGUUAUAGCCCCUGGUCACAUAUGCCGGUUGGGACUGAGGAACGCAGCGCGCCCUUGUGGCAGGCCUUCGGGCACUUUCGCGCUUAGGAUGUUGGCAUAAUGGCUUUAAGCGACCCGUCUUGAAACACGG